This 482-nucleotide ribosomal RNA is filed under the name uncultured bacterium. RNAcentral's name for it is "partial 16S ribosomal RNA". It matches the Rfam family "Bacterial small subunit ribosomal RNA", at positions 30 to 507 of the family's 1533-position model. The record is from RNAcentral.
AUUGAACGCUGGCGGCAUGCUUUACACAUGCAAGUCGAACGGCAGCGCGGGGCAACCUGGCGGCGAGUGGCGAACGGGUGAGUAAUACAUCGGAACGUACCCAGUAGUGGGGGAUAACGUAGCGAAAGUUACGCUAAUACCGCAUACGUUCUACGGAAGAAAGUGGGGGACCUUCGGGCCUCAUGCUUUUGGAGCGGCCGAUGUCUGAUUAGCUAGUUGGUGAGGUAAAGGCUCACCAAGGCGACGAUCAGUAGCUGGUCUGAGAGGACGACCAGCCACACUGGGACUGAGACACGGCCCAGACUCCUACGGGAGGCAGCAGUGGGGAAUUUUGGACAAUGGGCGCAAGCCUGAUCCAGCAAUGCCGCGUGAGUGAAGAAGGCCUUCGGGUUGUAAAGCUCUUUUGUCAGGGAAGAAACGGCUGAGGAUAAUACCUUCGGCUAAUGACGGUACCUGAAGAAUAAGCACCGGCUAACUACGUG